UUUAAGCGUGAUACUGAAAAUUGUAAAUGUUAUCUUGUUUGUUUUCGGAUUUGGAUGGUUCCUUACUGGUGCAGUUAUACUUGGAGGGGUCCUACUGAACAGUCAUGUCAACAAAAUUUUGAACAUCAUUUCAAUUCUUUCAACUGGACUUGGUGACGAAAUAAAAAUCUUAUCCUCAAUGUUAAUUGUGAUAGGGUUUUUCGUAAUGUUUGAAUCUAUUAUAGGAUUUUUUCUUGAAACGUUGAACGACAAAAAACAAAAGAAACCACGGUGGAAUAUUGUGAUAUAUGGGUAUUUUAUUUUUGGUCUCAUGUUAUUUUUGUCAACACUGAUAAUCUUUGGGUUGUGGAUUCACACGAGAGAAAAGGUA
Molecule: long non-coding RNA, 370 nt
Organism: Saccostrea cuccullata (small rock oyster)
Lineage: Eukaryota; Metazoa; Mollusca; Bivalvia; Ostreida; Ostreidae
Exons: 3
Source: RefSeq, a predicted model, not a curated record